RNAcentral lists this ribosomal RNA (430 nucleotides) under Bacteroidota bacterium. Its description in RNAcentral is "Bacteroidetes bacterium partial 16S ribosomal RNA". It matches the Rfam family "Bacterial small subunit ribosomal RNA", at positions 355 to 776 of the family's 1533-position model. The record is from RNAcentral. Lineage: Bacteria; Pseudomonadati; Bacteroidota.
UAGGGAAUCUUCGGCAAUGGGGGGAACCCUGACCGAGCAACGCCGCGUGAGUGAAGAAGGUUUUCGGAUCGUAAAGCUCUGUUGUUAAGGAAGAACGAGUGUGAGAAUGGAAAGUUCAUGCUGUGACGGUACUUAACCAGAAAGGGACGGCUAACUACGUGCCAGCAGCCGCGGUAAUACGUAGGUCCCGAGCGUUGUCCGGAUUUAUUGGGCGUAAAGCGAGCGCAGGCGGUCAAUUAAGUCUGAUGUGAAAGCCCCCGGCUCAACCGGGGAGGGUCAAUGGAAACUGGUUGACUUGAGUGCAGAGGAGGAGAGUGGAAUUCCAUGUGUAGCGGUGAAAUGCGUAGAUAUAUGGAGGAACACCAGUGGCAAAGGCGACUCUCUGGUCUGUAACUGACGCUGAGGUUCGAAAGCGUGGGUAGCAAACAGG